UACGGGGGGGGCAAGCGUUGUUCGGAAUUACUGGGCGUAAAGGGCUCGUAGGCGGCCAACUAAGUCAUACGUGAAAUCCCUCAGCUUAACUGGGGAACUGCGUGUGAUACUGGAUGGCUUGGAUUUGGGAGAGGGAUGCGGAAUUCCAGGUGUAGCUGUGAAAUGCGUAGAUAUCUGGAGGAACACCGGUGGCGAAGGCGGCAUCCUGGACCAAUAUUGACGCUGAGGAGCGAAAGCCAGGGGAGCAAACGGG
This 253-nucleotide ribosomal RNA is filed under the name uncultured bacterium. RNAcentral's name for it is "partial 16S ribosomal RNA". It matches the Rfam family "Bacterial small subunit ribosomal RNA", at positions 524 to 776 of the family's 1533-position model. The record is from RNAcentral.